RNAcentral lists this long non-coding RNA (417 nucleotides) under Elaeis guineensis (African oil palm). RNAcentral describes it as "long non-coding RNA (EGUI_LNC082226)". The record is from RNAcentral. Lineage: Eukaryota; Viridiplantae; Streptophyta; Magnoliopsida; Arecales; Arecaceae.
GUCUGGGCUUCUCCAACAGCAGGACUUCUACAGUAACCAGACUCCAUCCAAGUUCCUAUAGCGGUCGACCGCCUUCCAAAUUUCAUCCGAGCUUCUACAGCAAUCGAAUUCCAUCCGGGCUUUCACGACAACCGAUCUCCAUCCGAGCUUUUAUAGUAAGCGGUCUCCAUCCAAGCUUCCACGACAAUCGAUCUCCAUCCGAGCUUCUACAGUAAGCGGUCUCCAUCCGGGCUUCCACGGCGACCGAUCUCCAUCCGAGCUUCUACAGUAAGUGGCCUCCCUUUGGACUCCCACAAGAAUCGGACUUCGUUCGAACUUCUACAGCAAGUGGAUUCCAGAUGAACUUCUACAAUGGAUGGGCUUCAGCAGCUGGAUUUCUAUGGUGACUGACUAUCUCUGGUGUCUUCCGUACCUCUC